RNAcentral lists this ribosomal RNA (848 nucleotides) under Fanulena insculpta. Its description in RNAcentral is "partial 16S ribosomal RNA". The stretch from base 486 to 630 matches the Rfam family "Archaeal large subunit ribosomal RNA", at positions 1889 to 2083 of the family's 2987-position model. The record is from RNAcentral. Lineage: Eukaryota; Metazoa; Mollusca; Gastropoda; Stylommatophora; Helicarionidae.
AGGCAUUCUGCCAUCCUUUUUUAACAGGAAUAAGAUAGUAAGAAAAACAGUAAUAUUAAAAUUUUAAUAAAAAAUUUUAAUCUUUUUACCUUUUGCAUAAUGGUUUAACUUAAAGGCAAUUAUUUUAUUUCUCCCGAAAUAAAAGGAUCUAGUCAAAGAAUUUUUUAUAUGUUUUAAAAUAUAAAUUUUAUUUUUUACUAGGUGUGAAAGGCUUAUCAACUUUUCUUAUAUCUGGAUUAGGUUAAAAUGUAUUUAGUACAGGCUUUAUGCUGAAUAACUCACUGUUAAGGGUGGUUUAAGAAAGAAUUAUUAUGUUUAUUUUAUUUGUUUUAGAUAAUUCUAAAAUAACUUUAUAAAAAUUUAAUGUGUAUUUUUAACUACCUUUCACUUAAACCUAGAAAUUAAAUAAUUAAUUAAGAUUUUCAUAAUGUUAAAAUAAGUAUUAAAUUUUAUUUUAAUCUAAGGAACUCGGCAAAAAUUUUACUCAACUGUUUAUCAAAAACAUAGUUUUAUGAAAUUUUAUAAAAUGAAUUCUGCCCAAUGAAAAUUUAAUGGCCGCAGUACUUUAACUGUGCUAAGGUAGCAUAAUAAUUUGGCUUUUAAUUAAAGUCUGGUAUGAAAGGGAUUUUGGGUAGCAACUGUCUUAAUUUAACUUUUGAAAAUUUACUAAAAAGGUGAAAAUUCCUUUAGGUUUUUAAUAGACGAGAAGACCCUAGGAGUUUCUGUUUUGUUGGGGCGACAUUUUAGUAAAAUUAAUCCUAAUAUUUUUAUAGAACGACUAUAUUAAUACUAAUUAAACUACCCUAGGGAUAACAGCAUAAUUUGUUAAAGUUUGUGACCUCGAUGUU